This 424-nucleotide ribosomal RNA is filed under the name uncultured bacterium. RNAcentral describes it as "bacterial SSU rRNA". It matches the Rfam family "Bacterial small subunit ribosomal RNA", at positions 917 to 1344 of the family's 1533-position model. The record is from RNAcentral.
GGGCCCGCACAAGCGGUGGAGCAUGUGGUUUAAUUCGAUGAUACGCGAGGAACCUUACCAGGGCUUAAAUGUAAGUUGCAUAGAUCAGAGAUGGUCUUUUCUUCGGACUACUUACAAGGUGCUGCAUGGUUGUCGUCAGCUCGUGCCGUGAGGUGUCAGGUUAAGUCCUAUAACGAGCGCAACCCCUGUCGUUAGUUACCAGCAAGUAAUGUUGGGUACUCUAGCGAGACUGCCGGUGCAAACCGUGAGGAAGGUGGGGAUGACGUCAAAUCAUCACGGCCCUUACGUCCUGGGCUACACACGUGCUACAAUGGCCGGUACAGAGAGCAGCCACUACGCGAGUAGGAGCGAAUCCUUAAAACCGGUCUCAGUUCGGAUCGGGGUCUGCAACUCGGCCCCGUGAAGCUGGAAUCGCUAGUAAUCG